RNAcentral lists this transfer RNA (25 nucleotides) under Peromyscus leucopus (white-footed mouse). RNAcentral describes it as "partial tRNA-Arg". RNAcentral also lists the same sequence under 1 other name. Lineage: Eukaryota; Metazoa; Chordata; Mammalia; Rodentia; Cricetidae. The record is from RNAcentral.
UUGGUAAUUAGUUUAACUAAAACAA